UCACUGAAGCAGCGCAUAUACUGAAAAUGGAAUGCUACAGAGAAGACUCACAUGAUUUUCCAGAAGGAUGACAUGCAAAUUCCUGAAGUGUUACAUAUUUUA
Molecule: small nuclear RNA, 102 nt
Filed under: Castor canadensis (American beaver)
Lineage: Eukaryota; Metazoa; Chordata; Mammalia; Rodentia; Castoridae
Source: RNAcentral